CCUACGGGUGGCUGCAGUGGGGAAUAUUGGGCAAUGGGCGCAAGCCUGACCCAGCCAUGCCGCGUGAGUGAUGAAGGUCUUCGGAUCGUAAAGCUCUGUGGGAAGGGACGAAAAAACGGGGGUUAAUACCCCCCGGCUUGACGGUACCUUCUUAGCAAGCACCGGCUAACUCCGUGCCAGCAGCCGCGGUAAUACGGAGGGUGCAAACGUUGCUCGGAAUCAUUGGGCGUAAAGCGCACGUAGGCGGUUUGUUAUGUCGGAUGUGAAAGCCCUCG
This 275-nucleotide ribosomal RNA is filed under the name uncultured bacterium. RNAcentral's name for it is "partial 16S ribosomal RNA". It matches the Rfam family "Bacterial small subunit ribosomal RNA", at positions 338 to 606 of the family's 1533-position model. The record is from RNAcentral.